RNAcentral lists this RNase P RNA (351 nucleotides) under Mucispirillum sp. Its description in RNAcentral is "RNase P RNA component class A". It matches the Rfam family "Bacterial RNase P class A". From Rfam's summary of the family: Ribonuclease P (RNase P) is a ubiquitous endoribonuclease, found in archaea, bacteria and eukarya as well as chloroplasts and mitochondria. Lineage: Bacteria; Pseudomonadati; Deferribacterota; Deferribacteres; Deferribacterales; Mucispirillaceae. The record is from RNAcentral.
AAGGAUGCGCGGGCAGCCGCCGGUCGAUUGUUAUCGGCGGGAGGAAAGUCCGGACACUAAGAGCGUAAUGACUGAUAACAUCAGUUCGCAGUAAUGCGGGGAAAGCGUUACAGAAAAUAACCGCCGUUCAUACGGUAAGGGUGAAAAGGCGGGGUAAGAGCCCACCGCCGUUUUCGGUAACGAAAACGGGCAGAACAAGCCCCAUUAAGUGCAAGGCGAAUAGGAAGAAACGGGUUGCUCGCCCAUAUUUUCUUCGGGUUAGCUGCUUGAGAUUACGGGCGACCGUAAUCCUAGAUAAAUGGCUGCCUCUCUUUAUGAGAACAGAAUCCGGCUUAUAGCGCGUCCUUGAUU